RNAcentral lists this long non-coding RNA (750 nucleotides) under Parus major (Great Tit). Its description in RNAcentral is "lncRNA (ENSPMJG00000008599.1)". Lineage: Eukaryota; Metazoa; Chordata; Aves; Passeriformes; Paridae. The record is from RNAcentral.
CAGAAACAUCCCUGGGAAGCUGAGCCCUCCCCAGACUCUGUGGCCCAGAGGCUCCAGGUCUCAGGGAUGAAGAUUGUAAAGCUUGAAGCUCUGAGGCACAAGUGUCUGUACAGAGUCCUGGAUCUCUACAGCCACCUCCAGGCCAGGGCUUGCCCAGAAGGUGUGAGCAGCAUCCUGAGCAGGUUCAGCUGCCAAAAUGCAGGUGAAGAAGUGGCCCGAGAGGUUGCUGAGAGCAGAGAGCAGCAGCAAGCAGCCAGAGCAGUGGAUUUCCUCCAGGAGCACCAUCGGGAGGGGAAUUUGCUGAAGGGGUUAAAUGCAGAGGCUGAGGCUGAGCUGAGGAAAAUGCAGGCACAGUUCAGGCUGGAGCUUCAAAGCCAGACAGAGGAAAAGCUAAAAGCCAAAGAAACAAAAGUGAUCCAGGAGACCAAAGGACAGAAAUUUGGGGAUCUUGUGGUUUAUUCCCUCCUCUCACAGAGGCAGCUCAGGCAAAGGGUGACUUUGCUCCAGGAUUGCCACAGGCUCAGGAGCGCUGCCCUGAAAUCCCUAAAGGAGGGCACAGGCCUGGAACACCUCGUGGUGGAAGUAAAAUUCUCUUCUUAUUUUUGCUUUAAAAUUCUCCAAGUUUGGUUUAGAACCUGGAGUGUGCUGCUGCAAAGCUUUACAAACUCUCAGGAAUUGUCUCUGUUUAGAGAAAUGUGUCUAGAAAUGAAGCUAAGUUCAGAAUUAAAUUAAACUAUUAUGUAUUAUAUA